UGACAGGACUCUGGAGAGAUCCAAUUAAUGGGCGCCGAAGGGGCAACGCAAUAUGCUUUGCUAAUCUCUCAGGCAAAAGGACAGAGUAUUUAAA
Molecule: non-coding RNA, 94 nt
Filed under: Desulfosporosinus orientis
Lineage: Bacteria; Bacillati; Bacillota; Clostridia; Eubacteriales; Desulfitobacteriaceae
Also listed under: 1 other name
Description: Glycine sequence
Rfam family: Glycine riboswitch aptamer
About the family: This family represents the bacterial glycine riboswitch. Glycine riboswitches usually consist of two metabolite-binding aptamers domains with similar structures in tandem.
Source: RNAcentral